RNAcentral lists this ribosomal RNA (302 nucleotides) under uncultured bacterium. Its description in RNAcentral is "partial 16S ribosomal RNA". It matches the Rfam family "Bacterial small subunit ribosomal RNA", at positions 508 to 809 of the family's 1533-position model. The record is from RNAcentral.
GCAGUAGCCGCGGUAAUACGUAGGUGGCAAGCGUUGUCCGGAAUUAUUGGGCGUAAAGGGCUCGCAGGCGGUUUCUUAAGUCUGAUGUGAAAGCCCCCGGCUCAACCGGGGAGGGUCAUUGGAAACUGGGAAACUUGAGUGCAGAAGAGGAGAGUGGAAUUCCACGUGUAGCGGUGAAAUGCGUAGAGAUGUGGAGGAACACCAGUGGCGAAGGCGACUCUCUGGUCUGUAACUGACGCUGAGGAGCGAAAGCGUGGGGAGCGAACAGGAUUAGAUACCCCCGUAGUCCCUGUCUCUUAUAU